Molecule: ribosomal RNA, 254 nt
Filed under: uncultured bacterium
Lineage: Bacteria
Description: partial 16S ribosomal RNA
Rfam family: Bacterial small subunit ribosomal RNA
Source: RNAcentral
UACGUAGGGGGCGAGCGUUGUCCGGAUUUAUUGGGCGUAAAGAGCUCGUAGGCGGUUCGGUAAGUCGGAUGUGAAAUCUCCACGCUCAACGUGGAGGGGCCAUUCGAUACUGCCGUGACUCGAGUCCGGUAGGGGAGUGUGGAAUUCCCGGUGUAGCGGUGAAAUGCGCAGAGAUCGGGAGGAACACCCGUAGCGAAGGCGGCACUCCGGGCCGGUACUGACGCUGAGGAGCGAAAGCGUGGGGAGCGAACAGG